CUCAAAGCUGGAACUGAACAUCACAGGCUUCUGCAAAGAUAAAAAACCACAAGAUGUGUAGAAUCCACAUUGCUGCCUGUGUCAGCGACAGAUUGCCCUCAUAAAAGGUCUUGUCUGUUCCAGGGUACACAAUGGUGUUUGAAUGGUGGAGAACAGAGAGCUGUGUACUGAACCUGAUUCUUAAAUUUUGUGGUCGUAAAAGGUCUGAGUCAUUGACGUAGACGCUUUCAAGAGCAUCCGCGGGAGGCAAUUUCAAGGAGGAGAUCGCAUCAAUUCUACCUCAGAAGUUCCAGAUCGUUUCUCUGAGGACAGACUUUGAAAGAAGGAGAGACGGGAUCCCUGAGGAGGGAAAUUGGCACGAAGAGAAAAACCCUGCACACAGGGAGAAGACGAUUCACGCGCCUGCAGUCAGUCCCAUGGCCAGCAUGAUCCCAUGACACUGCUCUGCUCCCCGAAAUUUCUUUUCAAUAAAAUCAUUCAUCAGGAUGUGAAUA
Molecule: non-coding RNA, 494 nt
Organism: Macaca mulatta (Rhesus monkey)
Lineage: Eukaryota; Metazoa; Chordata; Mammalia; Primates; Cercopithecidae
Source: RefSeq, a predicted model, not a curated record